AACCCUUUUUCCCUUUGCUUCACAUUUCCACCCAUAAAUUCUCUAUUGGCCCAAAGAUGUCUGUUUUUGCCAAAUCGAAAAAUAAUUACUUCUCCAUCAAAAUAGAGAACUCUCGUAAGAGAUUUCUUCUCGAGAAUAAGUACACUAAAAAUAAGGAUCCAAAUCACAUACAGAGCUUUCGUGAAGAUUUUGUUCAUAGACUUUCUCAUCUGCUUUUGCAAAUGAUUCUAUAUUAAUUACUCAAGUUUCUUGUAAUAUUCUUGUCGUUCUUUUAAUUUUUCUUACAAUGCUCAGAUAUGUUGUGUAAUGGUCUUCUAGAAUUGGAAAGACGAUGACUGCUUUUGCUGUGCCAUCAGUUUUUUAGGUAUGUUAAUGUCGCAUAUGGAUUUACUUAAGAUUUCUCUAGAUUAUGUUAAUUUCUUUUAGAUAUUUAUAGUCUGCUAAAUUGAUUAAGGAUUCUAUAGAUCUUAUUCUUGAAAGCCAAUUUCUGUUUUAAUAGAAAAAGUACUUUUUGAUGUCAAGCCCAUUAAGAAAAUUUGUAUUUUAGUGAAAUUUAAUAUGAAAUAAGUCGCUACAUAUCUGAGAAUCCUAUCCAGCUACCCAAUGACCUAUAAUGCUACUCGCCAUCAAAUCAGGGCUAAGAGUUUCUGUCUGAAAACUUUUCAAGCUUAUCAAGAAAAGUAAUUUUGUUAUCUUUUUAAAAGCGUGUUAUCGUGCAUACCAUUCUUAACAUCCCCUGAAGGUUGCGCAUCAUUAUUUCCCAUCUUAUCGAUGAUCUCAAAUUCUCAAUGGGCUCUUCUACUAAACUCUCAUUCAUAUAAUUGGUAAUCAUGAAGUUGAAGGGGAGAACUUGUUUUGCAAAUCCCAUAUUACCAACACUAGAGUACAUAGAGAUUAAAGAGCUAUAAAUAUGGGUAUUUGGUUCUAUUCCCUUCUUAAUUGUUUGUGUAUAUACUUGUUUACCUUCAAGCACAGAUUCAACUUGAUACAAGCUUCGGGAACAAAAGUAUAUGUAUGACUAUCCUAUAAUACUUCAUGUGUUACUAAUCCUUCAUAGAGAAACAACGACUCCAUAGGGCGUUCGAUAAAAAUCAUUCCUCUGAUCAUAAUAUUAUAUGAAAAAAAAUGUAUUAGGUGAUUGAAUUGAUGAAUUGAAGACUAAGAAUGUCAUUCUUCCUAAUCCCUAUUCUUAAAUGCACAGAAUUCUUCUCCAAUUCGUCAACUAAUGUGACUAGUUCAAGAGAUGAGCACUUGCUUCUUUGUACAUUCUAAUUGGCAUAGUUUUGCAGUACUCUACAUGCUUUGUUUAGAAAUAAUACAUAUGUUUCAGACCUUAUCUCUGACAUAGAUCGAAGGUAGGAAAGUUACAUGUUUUUAGGGAGGAGAGCAUAAGUUCAUGGAAAUGGAUUACCUGAAAGGAUGAAAGGGAACAACUCUUACAGGAUCUUGAGUGCUUUUUUACUGUAAUUUGCAACCUUGUCAAGAAAACUAAGAGUUCGGACCAAGUAUACGAGAUGGCAGAGCUCAUAUCCAUUACACUGUCCCAACAACCAAGUGAUAAGCUUGAUUUUCACUUAAAAAUGUAUCAUGUCUUGAAAUUAAUAACUUCAAUUCCUAGAUUUUUUUCUGGUGUCACAGCGCAGUUUCUUCUUCCUCUCAUUUCAGAUUGGUCAAUCUCUACAACCAGUUGGAUAAUCCUUAUAGCCGUUUCUUUGUGUAGAUGAAGGCCCUUAAUUUGUCCAUGAAUGAAAAAGUCGUUGAACAUAUCUAUCCAUCUUUCAAAAAAAUAGAUAGCUUUUUGAAAGAGUGGAAUCUUGGAGUUGAAGAUCAGAGAGGGUUGUUUCUUAAGAUCUAAAUCAUUCUGAAGGAAACCAAGGGGACUUCUCCAUGAAGAUUGUCUCGUCUGAUAAGCUCAACCUUGUGCCAUUUGAGCAUGCUGAUAUACCUAACCUUUACGAGAUGAGGGGAGAACAUGGACGUUGAGCUUGCUGGGAGCCAAGUAUCAUAAGUCAAAUAGCUAGCUGGAGUAUUAAUGUCAUUUUCAAAUAAGGCUAUCUGUGGCAUUUCGAGUUCCCCUUAGUGUGGAAGCCACAGGCAAAUAACUUUUUGCAUCUAUCCUAUUUUGUUAUUAUAUUUUAUUUGUUUUCGCUUCUUAAAACUCUUGUUUUAAUCUAUUGUUAAUUUUUUUUGCAAUACUAGAUAAUC
Solanum pennellii is the source of this 2205-nucleotide long non-coding RNA. RefSeq lists it as uncharacterized. The record is from RefSeq and is a predicted model, not a curated record. Lineage: Eukaryota; Viridiplantae; Streptophyta; Magnoliopsida; Solanales; Solanaceae. The transcript has 4 exons.